CGCAGCCGCGGUAAUUCCAGCUCCAAUAGCGUAUAUUAAAGUUGUUGCAGUUAAAAAGCUCGUAGUUGAAUUUCGGAGUUAGUAGGUUGGUCAUGCCUCUGGUAUGUACUGGUCUCACUGAUUCCUCCUUCCUGAUGAGCCGUAAUGCCAUUAAUUUGGUGUUGCGGGGAAACAGGACUGUUACUUUGAAAAAUUAGAGUGUUUAAAGCAAGCUAACGCUUGAAUACAUUAGCAUGGAAUAAUGAAGUAGGACGUUCGAACCUAUUUUGUUGGUUUCUAGGAUUGACGUAAUGAUUAAUAGGGAUAGUUGGGGGCAUUAGUAUUCAAUUGUCAGAGGUGAAAUUCUUGGAUUUAUUGAAGACUAACUACUGCGAAAGCAUUUGCCAAGGAUGUUUUCAUUAAUCAAGAACGAAAGUUAGGGGAUCGAAGACGAUCAGAUACCGUCGUAGUCUUAACCAUAAACUAUGCCGACUAGGGAUCGGAUGAUGUUAAUUUUUAAUGUACUCAUUCGGCGCCUUAC
Molecule: unclassified non-coding RNA, 520 nt
Filed under: uncultured Glomus
Lineage: Eukaryota; Fungi; Glomeromycota; Glomeromycetes; Glomerales; Glomeraceae
Description: SSU rRNA
Rfam family: Eukaryotic small subunit ribosomal RNA
Source: RNAcentral